Molecule: long non-coding RNA, 1035 nt
Filed under: Malus domestica (apple)
Lineage: Eukaryota; Viridiplantae; Streptophyta; Magnoliopsida; Rosales; Rosaceae
Description: long non-coding RNA (MDOM_LNC017430)
Source: RNAcentral
GAAAACUAAGUAUGCAUCCUUAAUAAACAUACAAGAAUUAGUUAUGAAUAAAAUAGAUAAUUGAAUUGCAAUCACAACUUAUCAAAUCACAAUUGGAAGAAAUCAAUUUAAAUCUCAAGCAUGUUCAUGGCUUCAAACUUCCCCCUAACUAAAUAGGGGUUUAGCCACUCAUACUUACAAAGCAAAGAUAAACAAAUUUAAACAUUGAAAACAAAAGAAAGAAAACACCUAAAAACGCUCCAACAAUCCAAUUUGAAUGGCAAACACGUCCAAGGGUCCUCAUUCUUCUCUUUGUAGCGGCACAAGGUGUGGUUUGAUGGAUGAGUGGUAAAUUAUGGUGGUGGAUGGAUAUAGGUGAGUUAUGGUGAAGGGUGGAUGGGUGGAUUGUGUUCUCUUUGGUUUUCUUCCCCCUUAUGGUGAAGGGUGGAUGUAUUUAUAGGCUAGGGAGAGGACCACCAUCUAAUUAAGGUGGUAGUGAUGAGUGUUGUGGUAAUGAGUGGAUGUAAUGGGUGUAGUGGAUGAAUGUUUGGUAAUGAGUGGAUGUAAUGGAUGUAGUGGAUGAGUGUGUGAUGUCCAUGUUUCCCUUUACAUUUGCACACACAUGACCUCCAUCAUUUCAACCACAAAUCAACCCAUUUUCUACCCAUGUGUGUGUGUUUCCUUUGCCCAUGUGUGUGUGUUUCCCUUGCCCAUGUGUGUGUGUUUUUCCUUUUCAUUUGCACACACAUGUUCUUCAUUAUUUCAGCCAACAAUCCACCCAUUUUCUGCCCAUGUCAAACUGUUCAUGCCUUGCCUUUCUCUUUGUGUGUGUGUUGUCCAUGUUUCUGAACCUUUCAGUGUUACAAUGCCCAUAACUUCUUCUAGAAAAAUGAUAUUAACAAUCAGUAAAUUGCUCCAGAAAAUAAACAUCCGUAGCUUUCCACGCAUAUAAGGCUCAUUUUCUCAUUCAUUCUGAGUUGUUCGUAACAUGCUUUCAAAGUCAGCUAAUCUGCACAGGCAGUUUUGACGAAUUUGUUACUUAAUAAUUCACUUGUG